CGAGGGCACGCCUGCCUGGGUGUCA
Molecule: ribosomal RNA, 25 nt
Filed under: Spatholobus sp. XY-2015
Lineage: Eukaryota; Viridiplantae; Streptophyta; Magnoliopsida; Fabales; Fabaceae
Description: partial 5.8S ribosomal RNA
Source: RNAcentral